RNAcentral lists this ribosomal RNA (253 nucleotides) under uncultured bacterium. Its description in RNAcentral is "partial 16S ribosomal RNA". It matches the Rfam family "Bacterial small subunit ribosomal RNA", at positions 524 to 776 of the family's 1533-position model. The record is from RNAcentral.
GACGUAGGGCGCGAGCGUUGUCCGGAUUUAUUGGGCGUAAAGAGCUCGUAGGCGGCUCGUUGCGUCGGCUGUGAAAACCCAUGGCUCAACCGUGGGCUUGCAGCCGAUACGGGCAGGCUAGAGUUCGGUAGGGGAGACUGGAAUUCCUGGUGUAGCGGUGAAAUGCGCAGAUAUCAGGAGGAACACCGGUGGCGAAGGCGGGUCUCUGGGCCGAUACUGACGCUGAGGAGCGAAAGCGUGGGGAGCGAACAGG